Molecule: unclassified non-coding RNA, 2725 nt
Filed under: Thrips palmi
Lineage: Eukaryota; Metazoa; Arthropoda; Insecta; Thysanoptera; Thripidae
Description: serine/threonine-protein kinase SBK1, transcript variant X5
Source: RNAcentral
GCACCCGCUGCACCCGCUGCACCCACCCUGCGGCCGUGGUCAACAUGAAGAGUGACCCCUGACCGCGUCCUGUGGCCCUGGCUGGCCUCGCCGCCGGCCGGGCUGCCCCGCGCAGCGCGCAUCGCGCAGAAUCCCAUAUUCCUGUGAUAGCACCAAGACUGCCCCUUUGUAUUCCACGUCUGUGAUAGCGGACGAAGACAGUUAGUGUGAGAGUGUUUUUGUAGCUCAACGUGAAGUGGAGAGCCCCGCGCUCCCCGGACGCCCCAUCCACGUGAAACGGUGCGGGAGAUGGGGAGUUCCGGUAAAAAGGCGAUCGGCGGCAGCAUCCACCGUAUCCGUGAAUUCGAGUUGGAGAAGGUGAACCUGGCCGAGGAGUUCGACAUCCUGCAGAUCGUCGGCGAAGGAUGGUUCGGCAAGAUCCUGCUGGCCGAGCACCGGGCCACGGGCCGCGAGGCCGUGCUCAAGGCCCUGCCCAAGCCCUACACCGCGCUCAAGGACUUCUACCGCGAGUUCCACUACUCGCUGCACCUGGGCGCGCACCGGUCCAUCAUCACCACGCAGGACGUGGCCUUCGAGACGGCCGGCUUCUACGUGUUCACGCAGGAGUACGCGCCCCUCGGCGACCUCACCGCCAACGUCUCCGAUAACGGCAUCGGCGACCUGCACUCCAAGCGCGUCGCCAAGCAGGUCGCCUCGGCGCUGGAGCACCUGCACUCGCGGGACCUGGUGCACCGCGACGUCAAGCUGGACAACGUGCUGGUGCUGCGGUCCGACUUCUCGCGCGUCAAGCUGUGCGACUUCGGCGAGACGCGGCGGGCCGGCACACUGGUGACGCGGCGCCACGAGUGGCUGCCCUACUCGCCGCCCGAGGUGCUGCUCACCGACACCGACCAGACGUACAAAGCCGAGACGUCCCACGACGUGUGGCAGUUCGCCGUGGUGGUGUUCGUGUGCCUGACGGGGUGCUUGCCGUGGCAGAAGGCCGCCCCGGACGACCCCCGGUACGCGCGCUACGUGUCCUGGCGCGCCGCCGCCUCCAUGCCCUUCCUGCCGGCGUCGCGACGCCCCAAGCUGUGGCGGCUCAUCUCGGCGCGCGCCCAGCGCAUGCUCAGGAACUUCCUGGAGCCGCGCGCCGACCGCCGGCCGGCCAGCCUCGGCGAGCUGCAGCGGUACCUGGACGACCGCUGGGUGGCCAAGGGCAGCGGCGACAAGAAGGAGGAGGGCGUUGAGGACGACGGCCUCUGCCCGUCCAUGUAUUCCUUCCACUCGUCCGUGGAAGAGAAGAACAAGCUGCUGGCCACGCUGUCCGAGUGCGGCAUCGAGACCACGGUGGACCGCGGUGCAAAGAAGGACCGCAUCCACCAGUGGGUGCAAUCCUCCGUCAUCGCCGAGGACGACGAGGAGGGCGAGUCCGAGGACGGCGACCUCGAGGGCGAGAGCUGGGAGGAGGAGGAGUCCCAGCCCCGGCCCAGGCCGCGCACGGGGAGGGUGGGUGUUGGCCGCGUUCGGCCCUGGUUCGGACGCGCCGUCCUGCAGCCGCUGGAGUAUUCGCGGAGCACGGCUCACUCUGUUCUGUCUCUGUCUCUCUCUGUCCGCAGGGCCAGGGUGACGUGGAGCAGGCGACCACGUCAUCGGCGUCAUCGGCUGGCCCGGUGGCGCAGCCACAGCCUCCCCCCCGCAGCGCGGCCAGCGGCACGUCCAGGGUGUCCUCGGUGUCCUUCGCGGACAGCCAGCCGGGGCCCGGCCCGCAGCGGCCCACUGCCGCCACCCGCUCCAACGGCACCCCCAAGUCCGGCCCUUCCAGAUCCGGCACCCAUUCCUCCGGCCGGACGGCCAACGCCAACCCCAAAGACAGCCCCUACUCGAGCGGCAGGGUGCCCAACGGCGUGGCCAAGCCGUCCAACGGCAACCCCAAGGAUGACCCGUACGCCGCGGCCACGGCGGCCACGGCGCGGACGCCCAACGGACUGCCCAGCGGCAGCGGCAAGGGCCGCACCGCGCCCGCCGGCAGGGCGACCAACGGCAAGAUGGUGAACGGCAGGACGGCGAGGGAGCCGCAGCCCCAGCCACCGCCACAACAGCAGCAACAGCCGCACACCGCUUCCGGCGAGUCAGGCAGCAGGUCCGGCAGUCACUAGCCCCAACAGUCCUACAGUACUCUUUGGUACUACUGUACCGUACUGUAGGACUCCACUGACUCCACGACCGGCGGCCGGCGCGGCGGUCUGCAGCCGCUUCCACGGGCUGAUGUGCUGACGAGCUGAGGAGCUCCACUUCGGCAAGCGGCAAGGCCCGGCCAUCCUGACAGGGCGGCGGCGCCUUGCUCACAUCCCCUCAUCAAGUCAUGGCCAGGGAUGGAUGUUUGCCGUCUGCAGUCGGCGAAGAGCAUUGCUUGGCGGGAGUGCAUUCUCAUUCUCACGGAAAGAACGGGGUUUUGAAACAUGCUGUAACUUCUAAAUAUGAUGACCACUUCGUGGCUGAAAUUUUCUUUUUUACUGAAAGAAAAAGCUAAUUAAAAGAAUGAUUCUUUUCAUGACGAUGACUAUCUAGUGUCAAUAUUCUCCAAAUCAAGACUGCUCUCAUUUUGAAUGGAACAUAGUGUAUAAAAAGUGUAAACAGGAUGUCUGUUCCGUAUAAGAUAUUUAAUACAUUAAGCAAUUCGGUAAGUUAAUAUUGUGUAAUCGCUUCGUUGUUUGAAAAUAGAGAAUGAUGUUCAACAUUGUGA